UUUUCUUCUCUUUUUUUUCACGUCCUCUCUCUCUGAGAAAGAGAAGAACUCCAUUAGAGUUACAUGGAAGUUUUCUUCUCUUCUCCAUACUUCAACUCCACGAACACCACCAGUUACACUUACAAGUUACACCACCUCUCGAUCCAGAAGAAGAAGAAGAAAAAAUCAGUGAUUGUGUUUCUAUUGGUUUCACGGGGUAGGUUAUCACGCCAAGGAGAAGACGAAGGGAAAAGAUUCAAGGAACAAUCCAACUCAGAAAUUGUUAACCAAGGCGUUACUUGGUCCUAUCAACAAUAAUGCCACCACCAGUGCUGCUGCCAUGGAAUAGAAGAUCAAGACUUUGUAUUUGUCAUUGCCACUAGUGCUACUUGUUAUUUUUUUACCACCACUGUCCAGUCAUUGCUACCGCUACUUGAUACUUUGCUACUUGUUACUGUUCAAUUGUGUGUGUGAGUGACUGUUUCUGUCAGUCUUUGACUCUUUUGCUACUUGUUACUUUUACAGUUUUUCAAGACUCGGUAUUUGAAUUUGACACUUUUCUUUGCUAGUAAUCUAGUAUUAAUAUUAUUG
Long non-coding RNA from Papaver somniferum (opium poppy), 570 nucleotides. RefSeq lists it as uncharacterized. The transcript is spliced from 3 exons. NCBI's taxonomy places the organism in Eukaryota, Viridiplantae, Streptophyta, Magnoliopsida, Ranunculales, Papaveraceae. The record is from RefSeq and is a predicted model, not a curated record.